This 500-nucleotide ribosomal RNA is filed under the name uncultured bacterium. RNAcentral's name for it is "partial 16S ribosomal RNA". It matches the Rfam family "Bacterial small subunit ribosomal RNA", at positions 30 to 523 of the family's 1533-position model. The record is from RNAcentral.
AUUGAACGCUGGCGGCAUGCCUUACACAUGCAAGUCGAACGGCAGCACGGGAGCAAUCCUGGUGGCGAGUGGCGAACGGGUGAGUAAAGUAUCGGAACGUGCCCAGUCGUGGGGGAUAACGUAGCGAAAGUUACGCUAAUACCGCAUACGAUCUAUGGAUGAAAGCGGGGGAUCGCAAGACCUCGCGCGAUUGGAGCGGCCGAUAUCAGAUUAGGUAGUUGGUGGGGUAAGGGCUCACCAAGCCGACGAUCUGUAGCUGGUCUGAGAGGACGACCAGCCACACUGGGACUGAGACACGGCCCAGGCUCCUACGGGAGGCAGCAGUGGGGAAUUUUGGACAAUGGGCGAAAGCCUGAUCCAGCCAUGCCGCGUGCAGGAUGAAGGCCUUCGGGUUGUAAACUGCUUUUGUACGGAACGAAAAGGUUUGGCCUAAUAAGCUGAGCUCAUGACGGUACCGUAAGAAUAAGCACCGGCUAACUACGUGCCAGCAGCCGCCGUAA